RNAcentral lists this unclassified non-coding RNA (499 nucleotides) under Aster homochlamydeus. RNAcentral's name for it is "partial external transcribed spacer". Lineage: Eukaryota; Viridiplantae; Streptophyta; Magnoliopsida; Asterales; Asteraceae. The record is from RNAcentral.
UUCGGUUGUUUGCAUGGCACUUUAGCCGUGCCGGUGGCUGUUACGCAGUGUGACUUUGGGGAUGUCUCGUAAAAGGUGCAUGAGUGGUGUUUGGUUUGAUACGGGUGGUUGGCUCCCUGCUUGAGCAGGCACGGCCACGCGUACAUUCCUUUUCAGUUGUGCGGCAAGGCUUGUAUCGUCUUGAUUGCAUAGUCGGGUUUCCUGUGUUGCCUACCUGAUCAACGGCAUCGUAUUGAUCAAAAGCGGUACCCUUUUCGUCAGGCGUUGCAACUGCAAUGUCGGAUGAACCAUGUAGCAUCCUCUUUGAUCCCUAUAGUCGAUGAGCAUUCGUUGAUUGUUGGGCCCGUUGGGGGUGACUUGGUCUCUUGGAUUUGGAAGCUACAGUGGGCAUGGGUUCGUAUGAUCCUUUUACUGCCCUCGUUGAGCGUUCUCGCUUCUCUUAAACGACUGUCUUUCACGUAUGGCAUGUCCCAACGUGUUUGGCUAUGUCGAAGAGGAA